This is a non-coding RNA of Styela clava, 251 nucleotides long. The record is from RefSeq and is a predicted model, not a curated record. Lineage: Eukaryota; Metazoa; Chordata; Ascidiacea; Stolidobranchia; Styelidae.
GGAAAUUCUGGAAAGGUUCCCGGCUUUGUGUUCAUGAGAUAGAGGAAGUGAGGUCAUAUUUCAGGAAGGGGACAAGACACAUUGCACUGCUGUACUGCAGAGAAUUUGCUGAAAGUUUCUGAUACAGAAAAUGAAGAAGGAGUGAUAAAAGUGUUGCAAAACAGAAUAUUGGUCGGCUCCAAGCAAGGUCCUGAACCUUAGACCAGGGCUACUCAACUAUUUUCACCAAAGGUCCGUGUACAGAACUUAAA